CCGGGCGCACGGGGUGAGUAACACGUAUGGAACCUGCCCUAUGCAGGGGGAUAAGCGGAAGAAAUUCCGUCUAAUACCGCAUAACACCUUUAGGAGACAUCUUCUUGGGGGUCAAAGGAGGCGACUCCGGCAUAGGAUGGCCAUGCGUCGCAUUAGCUAGUCGGCGGGGUAACGGCCCACCGAGGCGACGAUGUCUAGGGGUUCUGAGAGGAAGGUCCCCCACACUGGUACUGAGACACGGACCAGACUCCUACGGAAGGCAGCAG
Molecule: ribosomal RNA, 266 nt
Filed under: uncultured bacterium
Lineage: Bacteria
Description: partial 16S ribosomal RNA
Rfam family: Bacterial small subunit ribosomal RNA
Source: RNAcentral